AACGCACCUUGCGCUCCUUGGUAUUCCGAGGAGCAUGCCUGUUUGAGUGUCAUUAAAUUCUCAACUAUUAUCAGCUUUUGCUGAUGAUGGCUUGGAUAUGGGGGUUUAUUUUGCUGGCUUCACAGAAUGUCAGCUCCCCUUAAAUGCAUUAGCCGGUGCCCCGCGUGGACUGUCUAUUGGUGUGAUAAUUAUCUACGCCGUGGACAUCUACAAUCAUAUGGGUUUGUACUGUGCUUCCAACCGUCUGUUUACUCAGACAAUACAUGACAAUUUGACCUCAAAUCAGGUAGGACUACCCGCUGAACUUAA
This 309-nucleotide unclassified non-coding RNA is filed under the name Hebeloma sp. RNAcentral's name for it is "partial contains 5.8S ribosomal RNA, internal transcribed spacer 2, and large subunit ribosomal RNA". The stretch from base 1 to 52 matches the Rfam family "5.8S ribosomal RNA", at positions 103 to 154 of the family's 154-position model. RNAcentral also lists the same sequence under 1 other name. Lineage: Eukaryota; Fungi; Basidiomycota; Agaricomycetes; Agaricales; Hymenogastraceae. The record is from RNAcentral.